CAUAACCUCUAGGUGGUGAUGGCAUAUUGGAAUGAAAGUGUAAAGCUUUUUCAUAACCUCUAGAUGGCGGCAUACAUUUAUAAAAUGUGAAAGGUUGUAUAAUGCGCACUCUUGACUUUUGACAAUUUUUUUGGGGGAAAAAAUGUGCAUUAUACAUGAGAAAUUACGGUAAAUGUUUGAGCUCAGCUCUUAAAAAAUAAUGCCUCAUAUUUAAAUAUUACUGCAAAUGCACACCCAUACUGUCAACUUUCACAGUAAAAUAGCAUUAUACCAAGGACCUUUGCUGAAUGAUAGUGCCAAUUAAAUUAUUUAGCAUCUCAAUAGAGUCUCCAAAAGUACAUUAACAGAUGGAGGCCCGCAGUGAGGCCGAUAAUAUUCUCAUACUGCAGGGUUCACUGACUUCAUCUAACAUUUACUCAUGCACCAUUGAGUGAAAUUAGCCAGCGCUACACGGCCGACUCAGUGCAAGCAGGAGCUGCUUUCCAAUAAGUCGAUGGGAGGUAUUGUAUUACACGCUCUCGAUGAUCAGCGGUGUACGCCAAAAAGGACAAGACGGCCUGAAAUGCCGCAUACCUCGGAGGAUUGCUCAGGAAUCCGCAGUAUGACACAGCGAUCCGAAAAAUAACAGGCCAAACCGUGUGAAGUGGAACGAGAGGAUUCCGAGAUCAAAUGGUUAUGCUACUUCCAAUCUUGAAAUUCUGGCCCAGCGCCUAUUUGAGUUGUGCUCUGGUACUCCAGUGUACCAGCCUGGACUGCGCCGGAAGAGUGAUCCAUGCUGAAACUUAAUUAAAUCCUUAAUUAUUCAAUUGACCCGGCAGCUGGUGAUCAGUGGAAAUGAAGCAUGAAGAGGGUAUUUUAUUAAAACCUGUUAUCCUAAAUUAUAUAAGCAAUGUCAACUCAAAUGAACAUUAGCCGGGCUUGCGCAUGAUGCUAAUUAGAAAGGCAGCUAAGUACACAUCUUAUUAAAAAUCACAGUUUAGUGCUCGCUCUGUGUAAACCGCAUGUACCUCCUGCCGCUAAGAGAAUGUGUGUGCCAAAUAGUGCUAAUGGAACAUGACCAAUGCUGGCCCGGAUCCAGGACCCACUAAGGAAAACAUGGCGUGCAAAUACAACAUUUUAUCGUGCUACAUGCUGGAUGAAGGAACACUCUUGUCACACUCUUCAAAGCAACAUAGUAUAAAUCUAAGGCAGUGUAACAUAACACAUAUAAAACAACACUACAUAACACAAUACGACGUAACGCAAUACGACGUAACUCACCACACUGUAAUGUAACAUAAUGUAAUGUGACACAGUGUAAUGUAACAACAUUAGGUAACGCUACAACUUAAUGUAGCGUAACGUAACAAUGCAGCACAACAUAACAUAAUGUAACGCAACGUAACUCUGCACAACAUAACUUGACGCAACAUAACUACACAGCGAAAUGCAGCACAAUGUGGCUUAAUGUGUGUAUUAAGAGGAGACUCAGGACCAAUGCAGCAAAAUGGGAACAAUGGAAUAGAAAGCCCAUUUCUCGCUGUCCUGUGUGGAAAGUAUCUAUGCGGUAUGGUGGGUUGACAGUAUGACAGGAAGACUACCAGCCGCAACCAUGUGAUGUUUCGUACUACUCGCAGCUCUUUAUGUUGAAUGCAUUUGUUGCUGAACCCAACGCUAGCAUUUGCCGAAUUUUAUCUGAAAGGGACAGGCGAAUAAAUAUGGUUCUGCCACUAAUGCACCAAUUAAUGGAUUAUUACCACAGCAUUCAGAGAUAAGGCACAGUAACAGGGUCAGCUAACAUUAGCAUGUGUAGGGGACAUGCUCCUUGCAAACCGAGGUGACACAGUGACUCCCCAAAGUUUGAUAAACUGCAUCCUUCGAAGCCUCCCUGCUGUAAGACUCCCACAAGAAGACGCCUAGUGGACCCUAAAUUAAUUAGCAGGUCCCCUCGAAAUCUUGGUUUACAGUCAUCAAAGAGUCCUUUCUUCGUUUGAACUCACAACAGCCCAACCGAUCGACAAUGAAAUGCAAAUAACAGCAACAAACUAUUUGCUUAAUAUUCAAAUGUGCAGUCAAGGCACCACCCACUGGCGUUUGAGAGUACUGCAAUAUGUGAACUCUCAUUUGAUGUUUAACCAAGGAUAAAUGUCUGUUUUGAUAUUUCACGAACUCUGCAGAAGUAUUCCAAAUGUAUGCCUUGAUGUCUGUGUUAAGUGUGUCAACUUUACAAGCGCAAUUGCAAGAUUUUGAGAAUUGUUUGUCUUGAUUUGACUCCAAGCAGCAUGAAAUGUGAUUUGAACCAUAAGCAGUUGAUUUGCCAAAACUAAAGUUUAAACUGUCACUCGAUAUACUUGACCUGUGAGUAAAGAGUGCAAAGUUGGUGUUAUUUUAUAUUAAUAUAUGAUUUUAAACCCAUUUUAUGGGUCAAAAUUGGAGUCUAUAUUCAAGCUGAUGGGUGUGGUCUUCUCCAGGUUUCGCCGUCCCUCUGGGUAUUUAACUCCUGACUCCCCCCUUCUUGGCUCUCUUGUGUUUUUUCUCUCGUUUGCUCUCUUCGUGUUCUGGCUGGCAUCUAGCCAGCCACGGGCUGGCCUUGGCAACCUCUAUCCUUUCUUUGUUUGGGCACUCGGCUCCCGAACCUCUGUGGACCCCCGCUGCUAAGCUUCCGGUACAGUGGCUACUGAGCUACCCAGAUACGCUCCCAGCCAAACGUGAGUUUUCCGAAUGUGCUAGCGGACCCCGGACCCAAGGCGGGGAGAGAGACGGUCAUAUUCUCCAAAGGAGGCAGUGACGUCACCAAGCGCUGUUGUUUGACUAGCAAAAUUUGUCUGUUGUGAUCUGGUGAUCUCUGGUGAGUAUGAUGUAUUUCUUUGUUUUUGUCAUUUUAUUAGAUACAUAUUGAUUCUGAACUGCUCCAGAUGAUGUUGUUCCACAGUAGUGUGCUGUUAUAAUUAGGAUUAGGCAUUGUCCUCAGCAGGCUUGGAACCCUGGAUGACCAGGUACAUGAAACAGCAGUUGGUUUUGCGAACAGAAAUUAGCCAUGUGAAGUGGGUAGUGAGGGUAUAUUUGCAUGACAAUAUCCAAGUAAAAACGGCAAGGCUUUUUUUUCCAAGCAGUAACUUUGUCAAAAUUAUCUGCAUUAACUUCCAGUGAUGGCAAUGUAGCAGAAAAUCGCACGAACAGUGCUCGAUGUAACUUGAACAAGCAAUGAUACCGUUUCUUUCACCAAUCAGAUUUCAAAUUUGUUCUCACAAGACUAGCGAGCUGGCCCUCAGUGACGUCACCAAGUGCUGUUUUUUGACUAGCAGAAUUUGUCUGUAGUGAUCUGAACUCAGCAUUUUGGCACGAAAAGUAACUUCACACAGCACCAAUGAUUUUUAAAUGGAUGGAACCAAAUGCUGUAAAACGCUGAUUCCUUUCCCUACCCACCGAUGAGGCAGAAGGAAACCGGAGUGCCCGAAGAAAACCUACGCAGGCAUGGGGAGAACAUGCAAACUCCACACAGGCGGGGCCAGGGAUUGAACCCCGGUCCUCAGAACUGUGAGGCUGACGCUCUUAGCAGUCGUCCACCGUUCCGCCCGUUUUGAAGGAUAUAGUCAUAAUUUAGAAUUUCUGCAGAUGGAACAGCUGAGGAUGCAGUCAAUGUCCCUGGAGUGAUAAAGUGGUUGACUGGACAGGAACAACAGAAUGCAUCUUCUAAAUGGAGACAGACAAUUUUUUAGGAUAAACUUGGAUAUUUCAUCCCACUUCUAACUUGAGAGAACACCUUACAGUCGCCAGCCUGAGAGAGCAGAUGGAGGCCAGUCAGCACGGUGCGAAGCGACGGGGAUGUGUGCCUGAAAGGGGAAACAGCCAAGAUAGCGUUACUAAAUAAGACCCAGAUAUCGGGCUGAAAGACGGCCUGGAAGCAAACACAAAUGGCGCGAGCUGGCAUGUGAACACAAAAGUGGAGGGCCCAGAGAAACACUUGGGUGUAAUGCACAACAGCAACACUGGAGAACAUUAAUAACACCACUUUAACUGGGCAACUGAGAGGUGCGCACACAUGCAGAGUGGCACUCUGGCAAGGAGACCCACUGCUGGUUGAUGAGCUGGCAAGGAGGAGGAGGCGGAGGGACACAUGCCAGGAUUCCAGGCAAAGCAAAACGUGGAGGACCCAUGUCCAGGGAAGAAGGGAAGCAAGGCAGGAGUGCAGGAGUCUCACAAAUGAUAUUUAAUUCCAAAAACAAAGAUGACAAAGAAGCUCUUGUCCUCUUUGGGGUCGCGGUCGAGCUAGAGGCUAUCCCAGUCGACUUUGGAUGAGAGACGGGGUACACCUUAGAGUGGUCGCCAUACAAUGGCAGAGCACAAACAACCAUUUGCACUUACAUUUAC
Long non-coding RNA from Phyllopteryx taeniolatus (common seadragon), 4350 nucleotides. RefSeq lists it as uncharacterized. NCBI's taxonomy places the organism in Eukaryota, Metazoa, Chordata, Actinopteri, Syngnathiformes, Syngnathidae. The transcript has 8 exons. The record is from RefSeq and is a predicted model, not a curated record.